GAUGAAGAACGUAGCGAAAUGCGAUAAGUAAUGUGAAUUGCAGAAUUCAGUGAAUCAUCGAAUCUUUGAACGCACAUUGCGCCCCCUGGUAUUCCGGGGGGCAUGCCUGUCCGAGCGCCAUUACAACCCUCAAGCUCAGCUUGGUGUUGGGCCCCGCCGCCCCGGCGGGCCCUAAAGUCAGUGGCGGUGCCGUCCGGCUCCGAGCGUAGUAAUUCUUCUCGCUCUGGAGGUCCGGUCGUGUGCUCGCCAGCAACCCCCAAUUUUUUCAGGUUGACCUCGGAUCAGGUAGGGAUACCCGCUGAACUUAAGCAUAUCAAUAAGCGGAGGA
Molecule: unclassified non-coding RNA, 328 nt
Filed under: soil metagenome
Description: partial contains 5.8S ribosomal RNA, internal transcribed spacer 2, and large subunit ribosomal RNA
Rfam family: 5.8S ribosomal RNA (bases 1-120)
Source: RNAcentral